Molecule: ribosomal RNA, 442 nt
Filed under: uncultured bacterium
Lineage: Bacteria
Description: partial 16S ribosomal RNA
Rfam family: Bacterial small subunit ribosomal RNA
Source: RNAcentral
CCUACGGGGGGCAGCAGUAGGGAAUCUUUCACAAUGGGCGAAAGCCUGAUGGAGCAACGCCGCGUGCAGGAUGAAGGCCUUCGGGUUGUAAACUGCUUUUAUAAGCGAGAAAUAUGAUGGUAACUUAUGAAUAAGGAUCGGCUAACUACGUGCCAGCAGCCGCGGUCAUACGUAGGAUCCGAGCAUUAUCCGGAGUGACUUGGUGUAAAGAGUUGCGUAGGUGGCAUAAUAAGUAGCUAGUGAAAUCUGGUGGCUCAACCAUUCAGACUAUUAGCUAAACUGUUAAGCUCGAGACCGUGAGGGGUAACUGGAAUUUCUAGUGUAGGAGUGAAAUCCGUAGAUAUUAGAAGGAACACCAAUAGCGUAGGCAGGUUGCUGGGACGGUUCUGACACUAAGGCACGAAAGCGUAGGGAGCAAACGGGAUUAGAUACCCGUGUAGUC